RNAcentral lists this ribosomal RNA (443 nucleotides) under uncultured bacterium. RNAcentral's name for it is "partial 16S ribosomal RNA". It matches the Rfam family "Bacterial small subunit ribosomal RNA", at positions 28 to 507 of the family's 1533-position model. The record is from RNAcentral.
GAUGAACGCUGGCGGCAUGCCUAACACAUGCAAGUCGAUCGGUAAGGCUCUUCGGAGUACACGAGAGGCGGACGGCUGAGUAACGCGUAGGAACACACCCUGCAGUGAGGGAUAAGACACCGAAAGGUGUUCUAAUACCGCAUACGGUCUUCGGAUUAAAGCAUUUAUGCGCUGAAGGAGUGGCCUGCGUCAUAUUAGAUAGUUGGUGAGGUAAUGGCUCACCAAGUCGAUGAUGUGUAGCUGGUCUGAGAGGAUGAUCAGCCAGACUGGAACUGAGACACGGUCCAGACUCCUACGGGAGGCAGCAGUGAGGAAUAUUUCACAAUGAGCGAAAGCUUGAUGGAGCAAUGCCGCGUGCAGGAUGAAGGCCCUCGGGUUGUAAACUGCUUUUAUAAGAGAAGAUUAUGACGGUAACUUAUGAAUAAGGGACGGCUAACUACGUU